GAACGUACGCUGGCGGCACGCCUAACACAUGCAAGUCGAACGAAGUAGCAAUACUUAGUGGCAGACGGGUGAGUAACAUGUAGGUAUCUGCCCUUUGGCCUGGAAUAACACGAGGAAACUUGUGCUAAUACCGGAUAAGUCUUUACGGAGAAAGCUUUAUGCACCAUUGGAUGAGCCUGCACUUGAUUAGUUUGUUGGUGGGGUAAUGGCCUACCAAGACUGUGAUCAAUAGCUGAUUUGAGAGGAUGAUCAGCCACAUUGGGACUGAGACACGGCCCAAACUCCUACGGGAGGCAGCAGUGGGGAAUCUUGCACAAUGGAGGAAACUCUGAUGCAGCGAUGCCGCGUGAGUGAAGAAGGCCCUUGGGUUGUAAAGCUCUUUCGUCGGGGAAGAAAAUGACUGUACCCGAAUAAGAAGGUCCGGCUAACUUCGUGCCAGCAGCCGCGGUAAUACGAAGGGACCUAGCGUAGUUCGGAAUUACUGGGCUUAAAGAGUUCGUAGGUGGUUGAAAAAGUUAGUGGUGAAAUCCCAGAGCUUAACUCUGGAACUGCCAUUAAAACUUUUCAGCUAGAGUAUGAUAGAGGAAAGCAGAAUUUCUAGUGUAGAGGUGAAAUUCGUAGAUAUUAGAAAGAAUACCAAUUGCGAAGGCAGCUUUCUGGAUCAUUACUGACACUGAGGAACGAAAGCAUGGGGUAGCGAAGAGGAUUAGAUACCCUCGUAGUCCAUGCCGUAAACGAUGUGUGUUAGACGUUGGAAAUUUAUUUUCAGUGUCGCAGGGAAACCGAUAAACACACCGCCUGGGGAGUACGACCGCAAGGUUAAAACUCAAAUGAAUUGACGGGGACCCGCACAAGUAGUGGAGCAUGUGGUUUAAUUCGAAGAUACGCGCAGAACCUUACCAACACUUGACAUGUUCGUCGCGACUCUAAGAGAUUAGAGUUUUCGGUUCGGCCGGACGAAACACAGGUGCUGCAUGGCUGUCGUCAGCUCGUGUCGUGAGAUGUUGGGUUAAGUCCCGCAACGAGCGCAACCCUCACUUUUAGUUGCCAUCAUUAAGUUGGGCACUCUGAAAGAACUGCCAGUGAUAAGCUGGAGGAAGGUGGGGAUGACGUCAAGUCCUCAUGGCCCUUACGUGUUGGGCUACACACGUGCUACAAUGGUAUCUACAACAGGAAGCAAGACUGCGAAGUUAAGCAAAUCCCGAAAAGAUGCCUCAGUUCGGAUUGCACUCUGCAACUCGAGUGCAUGAAGCUGGAAUUACUAGUAAUCGUGGAUCAGCGUGCCACGGUGAAUGCGUUCCCGGGUCUUGCACACACCGCCCGUCAAGGGCG
Molecule: ribosomal RNA, 1332 nt
Filed under: uncultured Alphaproteobacteria bacterium
Lineage: Bacteria; Pseudomonadati; Pseudomonadota; Alphaproteobacteria
Description: bacterial SSU rRNA
Rfam family: Bacterial small subunit ribosomal RNA
Source: RNAcentral